Long non-coding RNA from Fundulus heteroclitus (mummichog), 410 nucleotides. RefSeq lists it as uncharacterized. The record is from RefSeq and is a predicted model, not a curated record. NCBI's taxonomy places the organism in Eukaryota, Metazoa, Chordata, Actinopteri, Cyprinodontiformes, Fundulidae. The transcript is spliced from 3 exons.
CCCACAUGCCCCAAGUUCCAACCCAAUAUCUUUGACCCCUCCCGCUGCCACGAAUGUCUGCGCCAGAGGCACCUGCACACGAGUGCAGGGGAAAGAACCGAGCCAGAGCCUCAACAAAAAACCCCGCCAGAGGAUGGGGAUACGAUUGGGAAGAGCGCAGCACUUGAAAGUGGGAUCGGGUCGAGCAGGGCAGUGCUGCUGACGCCAAUCUCAUCUCAGGAAGAGGAAAGAGACACCACCAGCAGCAGCAAGGAGGACUCUGACAGUCUUUCAGUGGCGAGCAGCUACUGUGAUAACGGAGGUCAGGCGCGUCAUGGGGAGACCUCUCUGUGCAUCUUGAGCCCUGACUGCAAGCUCUAUAUCUGUGAGGACGGCGACAGCACGGACAGCUGCCGUGACCAGAGCGAAGA